AGCUGAGUCCUAUUUAGCUCAAGCACCUCUUGGGUAUUAACAGCUUGGGCUGCAGGACGGGCUGCACAUAGAUAGUUUGUGGAAGGAGAGUAGAGUCCAUUCGGUGGAAGGAAGGACGGAUCCACAGAUGAUGUAUCUAGAACCUGAGUUCAUCAAAUGUCCUUUGACUCCACUCACACUGACGGAGCUGAAAGACCUCCGGAGAGGACCUUUCCCUCAGGAGGAAUCCCAAGCGCCCAAUGACCGAGCCGAGUCUACUCGGAUGCAAUCAGCAAGAGGGUUUAUUGGAAAACACAGGUACCUGCGGGCACACAGUCUCUUCAGAGGACUUGUGCGCCCAGCAGCUCCAGCAUGGGGCUUUUAUAGGGUUUGGGGAAGCAGAAGCGGGCGUACAGAAGCAGAUGCAUAGUUACGGGGAUUGGUGGAUUCAAACGAGGCACAUAGACAUGUUCACAUAUGAUUGGCUAUUUCACAUGAUGAGGUAAUAAGGUAUAGCUACACACAUUGGCAGGUUUGGGGCGUCCUGAAUGUCGGGGGCUGGGGACUUAUCUCUUCCUGCCAGGUGGCCUGUGAGUCAGAUCUGGUACUCCUGGUCUGUUCUACAUUCCUUUUCUUUUAUGGUCUGUUAGUUCUAGCGGCAGGGAGGGGCUGCCUGGACUUGCUUUUCACAGUGUUUAGUCCUGAGGUUGUGAAUUUUGAAACAUACUCUUUUAACUUCAUAUUUUUAAACCUUAAAUCUGUAUAAAUUUCCUUUCAGGGGCAACCUAACUUGAACUCAUCAGAUCUGGCUUAGGCGUGGGGUUU
RNAcentral lists this long non-coding RNA (804 nucleotides) under Rattus norvegicus (Norway rat). Its description in RNAcentral is "long non-coding RNA NONRATT017304". The record is from RNAcentral. Lineage: Eukaryota; Metazoa; Chordata; Mammalia; Rodentia; Muridae.